UGUAGGGAAAACACUCAAAUGUGCAUGACAGUGCGUUCUCCAGGACCAGGAUUGGGAACUUCAUCCAGUUAACCUUAACAUGUUCAGGAAAGCUGGAUAUACAGUAAAACACUACUCUAUUCUACUUUCGUGUUUAUCGAUCGCAAGUGGAGGCAGCACAUAAGGUUUUACUUUUACGGACCAAAGAUGGAGACGACCCGUUAUACUGUCACAUCCCACAAUGCCGUGCAAGAUGAGUGAUAUGAUAUGACGGGAGCCUGGAGCUUGUCCCAGGGAACUCGGGGCACAAGAUGGAGGACAAACUGGACGGGCACAAUCACACACAUAGUCACACACCCAUUCGCACACUACGGACAAUAUCGGAAAUGCCUAUCAGCCUACAACGCAUGACUUUGAACUAGGGGAGGAAACCGGAGUACCGGAGGAAACCCUCGAAAGCAGGAUUCGAUUCCCCAACCCCGAAAGUCCGAGGCAACGUGCUAAAAUAAUGAUUGACUGCAUGGCCCAGACCUCUGUUACCACUAAGCUGAUCAUUUUCCAAUAUCAGUACAUCCUUGUACAUGUUUUAUUCCAUGCAUAGUACAACAAUUCACCACCAAUUUUUACAGUGAAAAUCUAGCUUCAUUUCCUGUUGUGGAACUUCCACAAAACAGGUUGGUUCCUGUUAUCCUGUUAACCGUUCCUAUUUUUCUUUCUCAUCUUACAGAGAA
This is a long non-coding RNA of Ictalurus punctatus (channel catfish), 710 nucleotides long. RefSeq lists it as uncharacterized. The record is from RefSeq and is a predicted model, not a curated record. NCBI's taxonomy places the organism in Eukaryota, Metazoa, Chordata, Actinopteri, Siluriformes, Ictaluridae. The transcript has 3 exons.